UUUGUCGUAUGCCUUCUCCAGGUCGAUAAACACCAUGUGCAGAUCCUUCUUCCUCUCCCCAUUGGCUGAGACAAAAAAGUGGCGCCAACUUUUCACCAACUUUUGUACUUUGCGCCAGCUUGUGACAAUUGACAGUGAUAGUGACAGGUGAACCCAACCUGUUCCCUAAGUGGUAGCAGCUUUGUCAUCACAUAAUCUCUAGGAAACAGGUCCUAACAUACAAUUUGUCAAUCAUCAAAACUAAGGACUUAACAGUACGUUAUGGGAAGGGAUGGUGUUCAAAAGGAAGGUGAGUUAUGUGCUACAAUUAUCCCUUCAUCUUUGUGUGUUCCCAUUCUUCGUUAAGGACUUAAUGUGCUUGAAUCAACGAGUGAACCUUCUCAUGAGAAGACGUUAGAUGAAGUUGACUUGUGUGACACCUUUUUAUAUUAUUUGUUUGCAUAUGAUGAUACUUAUGCAUUUGAGUAGAAUAUGUUGUGUGAAGAUAAGUGUCAGUGGGGCAUAUGGGCCUUUGCUUAACCCAUUUCAUGGAAUCUUUCUCCAUUUGGCCCUGAUGAUGAAAUGGAAUGUGACAUUUAUAAUGUGUUGCUUGCUCAAGAUGACAAACGAGUUGUGACUUGGAAGAGUCAAUGGAUGUUCAAGAAUUCUUGUCACUUUCAUAGGGUUAGACAAUUUGAGGUAUCGAAUGGGACUCUUAGGAGCAUGCGUAAUAUCAUGAAUAGAGGGAGCACAACUUGUUGGGAGGACCAUUGAUUUUGGAUUGAAUUAAUUUCUAAUCGAUUCCUUAACACCUCAAGUGGCAUUACUCCAUUUGUGAACUCACUUCCUGUGGGAAAUUGUCUUGAAAGGAAGGGUAAUGUGUACCUAAAUGUCAUUAUUCCAUCCUUGGAUAUUCCAACUUGUAGUGAUUUUCUUGCUAGCUCUCGUGAGCAAGUUGGUACUUUUGUAUAUGGUAACAUGAUGGGGCUCAUAUUCUUGUUUCCUUUCUCUACUACCUAUUUGCAUAUGAUGCUGUGCAUUUUUAUAUUGGAUUUGUUUUAUAUAGAGAGGGGUUUCUUGGGUUGGUCCAUUUACUUUUGUGGCCAAACUAUGUGGGUCUCUCAUAUCUUUGACCCAAGUGAACCCUUAUGGGUGUUUGAACCAAUGGUGACACCACUUUUGGUAUGGUUUUAUGGUGGAACAGGGAAACAAUUAUGUCUUUGGACCUUUGUGGUUUCUGUUUCAUGAUAUUUCUCUUCGCCGGGUCCUUUGUACAUUGUACAAUGCAUUUCUCUUAUUGAACUCAAAAGCUUCUUGGUUGUAUUUCAAAUUUGUGCCUCCUUGGUAUGAUAAUAUUGGUGUUAACCCUUGUGCUAACCCUCAUACUAUGAGGAUUUCUUGGUUGCUUGUCCUUGGGGGAGGAUGAUACAAACAUAGUUAGCAUGGGGAACAUUAAAAGGGGCUUCUACAUAUGGAUGAUAGCUUGGAGUUCGGAGGAUGCUAUGGAGCAACAAAACUACACAGGCCUUGAGCGAUCAAGAUGUCACUUGGGCAAUCAAGAAGGGUCUUUAUGGGUUAUUUCCUAAAUAGCCACUUUUGUGUAAUUUUUGUAAUAGGUUAUUUGUGUAAAAGCAAUAAGUAUAAAUAAUUGCCUUAGCCAUUUUUCAUCCUUUGACUUAGAUGAAUAUUAAAUAUUGAGCUUUGAAGCUUGUAGUUUCUAGGUGAAGUCUAACAUUUACCUUGUAGUUUCUAGGUGAAACCUAGCAUUAGUGUUGUUCACAAUGAGUAAUUAGUGGUGGAAUCUUGGAAUUGUUGGGGAACUUCUUGGUUUGGUUAAUCGAAGGUUGCUCAUUUGUGGUUUUCUUUGAUUUUCUUAAACUAGGGUUUGUGUUUGAGUUUGUGAAAUCAAUUGGGAGGUGAGGGUUUUAGCCCUUGUUUCCCAUAAUUUCAAUAGCUUAGGUAUUAACCCACGUAUCCUUUUUCUUUGUUUCCUUUCUUUCUUGUUUGCUUCCUGAAUCAACAACUUAUCCUUUUCCAUUUCAUCGCCAUCAUCAUCAAGAUUAGUAACUUUUGGUUUGGAUAAUAUUUUGAUGUUUUAGGUUCUUUUUUCCCUCAACUUACACUUUUACUUGUUUUCUCCCAGCAUUCGGACACCUUUUACAUUGUUGUACAUCACUACUGUGAGAAAUAUAAGAGAAAAAUAUUAUUGAAUUAUUGAAACUACAUUAUUAUAUUGAGAUCCUAUUCAAGACACUACAUUUCAAUUCUUUUUGAAGUAGGACACAAUAUUAUAAUUUUUUUUCAAGUCUAGCACUCUCUCUCAAGCUGGUGUAUACAAGUCAUAUGUACUAAGCUUGUUAUGAAUGUAAUUAAUAUGAGGAUCAAUAAGAGACUUGGUGAAGAUAUCUGCAAGAAAACUGGUAAGGAUUGCUGGGAUGUGAUCACAGUUGAAAAGGAACAAAUUGGAGAAGUGGUUGGAAAAAUAGUAAACAUCGCUAGAAAGUCGAUUUGUCGCUAGAAAAUUGGUGGAAACUGGUAUAAAAUAUAUAGGUCAUUUCGAAAUCAAGAGAUGAGUAGAUCUCGAACAAGAAAGGCACCAAAAAACUAGCUGGAACAUGCCAAUGCAUUGGAUUAUUAGAUUUGACAACUGAAGAGUGGUUAAAAUCUGAGAAAAAUUAUAUUAGGUAGGGUCGGAAUGAUGGCACAACUCUACUGGAAAAGAGAUUAUAUAGGUAGGGUUAAAAUGAUGGAACGACCCUACUGAAAAAGAGAAAUUAUACGGAAACAACUUAUUUCACAUUUGAGGUAGUAGUAUGGACUGCGUAUACUUACCCUCCCCAGACCCCCCUUGGUGGGAAUGUACCGGGUAUGUUGUUGUUGUUGUUGUAGAGUCAAAAUGACGACACAAUCCUACUGAAAAAGAGAAAUUAUAUGGGUAGGGUCAGAAUAAGGACACACCCUACGCAAAUCAGAUCGAAGGAGUCACCAGAAAGAUGGACGGAACUUCACAAACCAGAUCUGAGAAAUCAUCGGAAAGAGGCACGGUGUUAUGCAACUCAGAUAUGAGAAAGUUGUCCGCAAAGAUGCACGAUAAUGCGCAAAUUAAAUGUGAGAAGUAGUCUGGAGAUAUGCACGAUGCUAUGCAAAUCAGAUAUGCGAAAGUAGUCCCACAAAGAUGCAUGGUUCUACACAAAUCAGAUAUGAAAAAGCAGUUACCGGAGAGAAGCAUAGUGCCCAAGUCUCUUGCUAACAUGAUCAUUGACUAGGUGGGCGACAUAUAUGGGUUAUAGCCGUCUGUUGGCAGCGGAAGCUCUUCGAUUCUCUACCAAGAUCGUAGAGGCUCUGAUACCAUGUGAGAAAUAUAAGAGAAGAAUAUUAUUGAAUUAUUGUAACUACAUUAUUACCCUGAGACCUUAUAGAUACUAUAUUCCAAUCCUUUUUCAAGUAGGAUUCUGCAGGAUUCUGCAGUUAUUUCUUCUCCGAUGCAUAUUCUAACAACUACAAUUACCAAUAAGAUGUUUAUGACCAAAAAUUCCGUCAUUAAACGUCAAGCCACAAAAAUACAUGUAACUUUGUUCCUAUUGAUCUAACUUGCCUUUUUACCAUAUUUUCAAGCCGGAUCAGACAUUUAGAAUCUCUGUAAAGAAAUCAUAAGAAACAAUUCAAACAAAACUAGCAACGAAAAGAAGGAAACAAAGCAGUAGAAAACUGAGGAAAACUGAAAAAGAUAAUUGAGGAAAAAAACUGAGCAGCAGUAGGAAACCAGAGCAAAACAGUAUAGAAGAAGGAAGAAGAACAGAAGUGAAAAAAAAAUAAGAAGAAAAGAAACAUUGAAGUCGUAGCAGUGAAGAGCAGCAAAACAGAGAAGGAAAAAGAAAGAAGAAAGAAGUAGACGGAAGAAAAUUACCUCAAAAUCGCACUGAAGAAGAGAAGUUGCAGCAGCAGUGAAGUCGCGACUCUUCUUCAGAGCUAACCCUAAAAGAUUGCAGAAGUGAAGAGCAACAGUGAAGUAGACUCUUUUGUUAACUUUAAAAUUGACCUAACUCUUUUAUUUUUUUAUUUAAAAAUGGCCCUACAAAUAUAAUCAACACGAUGCGAGUGCAUCAGUGCGCAUCUCGCAUCAGUGGGUUAUGCGCUCGCUUUUGUAAGAUGGCCUCGCAUCUGUUACUUGCAGCGACAAAGCUUCGCUUCGCAUCAGCGCAUUAUACAAUGAUGCGCUCGCAUUCCAGAACACUGCACUGCAUUGAGCUGCUUCUCCAAGUUGUGACAAGAGCAACAUCCUUAGUCUUAUUGCACCCUCUGACACAUUGAUCUAUUUAGACAAUGCGCGGACAGUCAAACACAAGCCUGCUGAACACCCUUUAUUUGCCAGCAUCUAAAACUUUAAUGGCGUCAUGGAAAAUGUUGCUGCCCCCAUGAAGGGCGUGUGGGUUGAUUGCAUUCACAUACCCAAAGUUCACUAGCACAGGACCAUCCUCGACCAGAAUGCCGAAAGAGUUAUCUGGAAUUUCGGCCAUCGUACUGGAACACAAACUAACAAAUUAAUUGGUCCAAAGUCCAUAACACAAAUAACAAACUAAGACUAGAUGACUAAUUGGUUCUCGACAACAUCGCUAUGCGUAAGACGGUGCUAAUUAUCUUUUUAAGGUGAUUUUAAUUAAAUAAUACUAAAAGCUCCAAAUAUAAGCUAACAAUUAAGAAAGUGUAGUAAAGAUAGAUUGUAAUCAAUUUGAAAGAAAUUAAUGAUUCCACUGCUUCUAUGCCUUCGUUCAACUUUGUUAAUUCGUGUCGAUUAGUAAUUAGUAGGCUACCCUUGCUCAUACUCCAUGGUCUCCCGACUUAUACGUAGUUUUACUUGAUUCGUAUUCCUAUUCCUUAAGCAUGCAGUAGUGACUAUUCCAGCAAAUUAUUGAGAUGAGAUAAACUACUUCGAGAGCCCCAAUUCCUUCGGAAAUCUAGCCAAUCUGCUAGUUGAAUCAAACCCUUGAUUCAUUCUUCUUUAUAAGAUUGAAAGGGCACAACGAAGAUUGUGCAUUCCCUCGAUUAUAGCGGUUUAAUACAGAUUCAAUUAGAAUAAGUAAAAUUUCAAUACUUUAUGCCUCAAAAAUAUCAAGAAAUAAACAAACAUUUGAAUUGAGCCCUAGAUAGGUGUUGACCCGUUCAUGCUAAGAUUAACACAUACAAAUAAACACCAAGAACUCAUCAUUUUUUUUUUUGGAUAAUCGUGGUGUCUGGGACUGCUUUUGCGCACCUCGAGUAAAUCCACGGGAUACCUAUCACCUCCCACCAGCAAUAGAUAUCAGGUAACUCUGUCCAUCAAGGCUAGGACAAACGGAAAGAAUCACCUAGUGUUUUUUGUCUCCGCUGGGAUUCAACCCUAAGAUCUCUGGCUCUCAACCCACUUUAUUGACCACUAGGCCACACCCUUGGGUAGAACUCAUCGUAUUAAUCACGAGAAGAAACGAAAGAGGUUAGAAGGCAAACACAAGAGUGAAUUUCUCUGGACUCGUGUUUCUUUUCUCUACAAAAUGUGCAUUUCUCACAGGUCCUCUAUGUGGGAUGCAGACAACUUCACACAACUUCACUUGGCCUUGGCAAUUUCCAGGACUUUUUCUUUGGUGUACCCCGUGGUAUCGCAUAAGUCUCUGCUGGACGCAUAGAUGGGACCUCUGUUGGCAGCAUAGAUAGGCGCUUUGCUGGAUGCAUAACGCUACGUCACACCACAUACUUCACAAGUUUCAAUCUUGAGGCUGAUUUCAUCAUUUUCUCUCUUUUUUUUCGUUUUCUUUUCAUCAUUUUUAGCCUCAGCCGUGUCUAUUUCACCACAAACUUGAAACAUGACUACUUCCGUGUGAUUGAGCAUAAAUAUAUCCUAGAAGAAGUACAAAAGUGUAAGUAAUUGAUGCUGAAUAAGUGGUGAAAUCACACUUAUCAGAGGCCAUGGUCUAAAGUUUCAUCUUUAGUUUGAAAAUGAACUCUAAACAUGAUAUACGUGUUCCAUAGUCAGUUAUUAUAUUUGGGACUAGAUUUAUGUCUGCUGGCGUGAUGUUCCAAUAUUGUGAUAACUGGUAUAUUUCAACUCUCAAAUCCUGAGUUCUUUAUUAAUUAUGCAGGUCCAUCCAUCUUCUGUGCUAAAUCCAGAUGAGGAUGGGAUGCUUCCAAACUAUGUCGUCUAUCAUGAAUUAAUAGUUACUUCACGCCCAUUUAUGCGUAAUGUAUGUGCAGUUGAGAUGCGAUGGGUUGCACCAAUUAUAGCGAAGCUUGAGAAACUAAAUGUAUCCAAACUGAGUGGGGGAUCUAGCCAGACUGAUAAGCAAAUUCAAGAAGUAACUUCAACUGUGGAAAAAAAAGAACUUGCUGCAAUUCAGUCACCCGAAGACUGUGACAACAGGAUACAAGCUGCUCGGGAAAGAUUUCUUGCUCGGAAACGUCAAAAGUAGCAUAACAGUGGUUGCUCGACAGACGAAUCGGUUAUGUAUAUGGACCGUCUUUGCCACAAAAUUGUUUUCUCCCAUUUGAUGCAGAAAUCUGGUCCAUCUGAUUCAUGAGUGACGCCAAAUGUGUCUUAAGAAUGGGCAGACGAAUUAUAUACCUUUGUCAGCCUUUUGAGUAUGAUCAAGUUUAGUGUAUAUUUUAAUCAGUAUAAUAUCUGAUACGUGGGCCAUUGACCACAAGAUAUUAACUAGAAUGGUCAGAUGUAUGCUUGAUCUCAACUUCUAUGGGAAAAGAGCACAACGGUUGAAUGUUUUCAAAGUGGAAAGGCCCUUUAAGAAACAAUCAAAUUGAUGAGGAAGCAAGCAAGUUAUAUUAUAACGGUUACAAUAACCUUCUUGUGGUUUGAGUG
Long non-coding RNA from Capsicum annuum, 6823 nucleotides. RefSeq lists it as uncharacterized. The record is from RefSeq and is a predicted model, not a curated record. The transcript is spliced from 2 exons. Lineage: Eukaryota; Viridiplantae; Streptophyta; Magnoliopsida; Solanales; Solanaceae.